Long non-coding RNA from Sander lucioperca (pikeperch), 3742 nucleotides. RefSeq lists it as uncharacterized. Lineage: Eukaryota; Metazoa; Chordata; Actinopteri; Perciformes; Percidae. The transcript has 2 exons. The record is from RefSeq and is a predicted model, not a curated record.
AUAUGGAUUAUAAAGGGAGUCAAUCAAAUGAGGAACAUUGGCGUAUCUUUUAUUCCUUUCAACUCCUGCCAAAAUGAAUCACUCACCCAUAGGCUUUAGCAUAUGAAAUAAUUAUAAAAAAAAUGUGUCGCCAUAUUAAGUACUUUAUACCUUUAGGUGUAGCCAUAUUACUUUAAGGAAGAAGACUCAAGGCUUCUUACACUCUGUAUUUAUGUGUGUGCGUGCGUGUUUGCAUGUUUAAAUUAGUGCGCCUACAUGCACAGUUCUUCUGCAGAGGACAUAGAUAGAUUCAGCAGAUUUAUUUUUGCCAUUUCUCCCCAAGGUAAAUAUAGUGGUCAUUACAGUGUUACACUGUCCCAUGUUGCAGCACUGACAAAGCAGCAGAGGGUGUUGGAAAUGAAUCUGUGCUGAAUACAAGACCAAAAAGGGAAUACCAGUACAGAGAACAUACACUAACACUACCAAAGUAUUAAGGGAAAAUAUGAGGGGAAAAACAACAAAACAUGUAACCCUGCAUUCAUAAACAUACAGAACCAGAAAGCAUAAUCUAUUCAACAGAAAAUUAUUAAAAUGCAUAAUCCUACAAAGUUCUUUGAAAAUGCCCAUAGGUAGACUAACUAAUACACUUUUUUCUUUGUCUUUUCUAUCAAUUUUUGACUCUCUGACUAUGUAUUUGGACUCAGUGUGCUGUAUUAUUAUUACUCACUGGUCCUCAUUGUGUAAAAACCUGCAAAUGAUGCUGACCUUUAACCCUCAGGAACACCUCAACUAUUUAAAUUCAAAGUAAACACCUGUAUCACCUGUGAGGACAGUAAGUUACAAAUGUGCAGAGAUAGUAAGCUAGUUUAUAAUGCGUUCAUAAAAGGCUUAGAACAAGGCUGAAGCUUAAGUCACAACCCCUCGCUUUUCUGCGUUGACUAUUAUACUGUAACAUCUUUCUAGAUAAAUACAGUGAAUCUGCUGUCAGGACUUCAGAGUGCAUCAUUUGGAUGGAGUUCUGCAAGUGAAAGUCCAAUCUGAUAAGGCUUUGAGAGCCGAAACAAUAAUCUCUGAGGCUAACUACUGUAGCAGUUUUUACGCUAGUAAAAAAGAUGCUUUUCUUUAAUGUAAAGGAUAUGCAUUGCAGUAAAGGUUAGCUUUUCAGUAAUGGCCAAGAUGACUACGAUGGCAGCAUGUGGCAUUUAAUCACUUUUACUCUUUGAAACAUCAAAUUUGUGUGUGAGUGUGAGUAGAACAGACAUUUAAAGAGAAAAUGGCGAUUAUUGUUAGUUGUUAUGGUAAUGUGUGUCACACUCAUGUAUCUAUAGAGAGACACACAUUUUCAUGAUGACUUACCAAUAGAAAUUUGAAGCAAUUAAAUCCGAAAUUCUCAAUUCCUCUCUAGCAGCAAGGCAACGGACAUAGCGCCCAAAAGAUGCCUCAUCAUGCUUUGUGCUACUCCAGUACUUAUUUGUUGCAAAACCUCUCCUCAGUGAGUCUCGACUUUCUGCAAGUUGGUUUAUAAGGAAGUUUAUGUGGAAGUUAGCCCGCUACAAUGAUUACAGUUCUUUGCAAUGGCAAGAGUACACAUAAAAAUGGCUGCCACUCUGACCAUCCUGCUAUGUUGAUUUGAAUGGGAAUGUCUGUUCUACUCUCAUUCUAUUUCUAUGGUUCUGACAUUUAUCUCCUUGUGAAUUUUGGCCCACAUUGGCCCUAAAAAUUUGUGUAGCCCCUACUUUCAAAACACCAUGACGUAAACCAAUUACAUAACAAACUGCACAGUAGCUUGAGCAGGAUGCAAAAUGUCUCUAAAGAAUAUCCCACUUUGCUUCAAUAAUUCACAUUUACAUAGAAAACGUGUUUGAGAUAGCAUAAGUAGAUCUUGAUGCAGUGAGGUAAUAUGUCAUGAAUGAUCCACUGCUAAUCAUGAUGAGUUUUCAUGAUCUACAUGCACCUGAAUCUUUUAUGCACUGGUAUCUCAUGUACCACUGCUCUCUAUAAUCUCAUUUCUUUAAAGUGAUCUUCAAAAAAACUGCACAGCACACAAGUCAACCUGUAGACAGGAUAUGAUAGAGCUUUCCUGUGAUUGAAAUUACAUUGGGUAUAGAACACCAUGUCCUAGUAUCCUUGCAGAUCCUCUGAUACUCUAUUACCACACAAUGUUCUUGGCUGUGGUGAAUGGUGCACUAUGCCCGUAAUGGCCUGUUAACUGCUGCCCUGACUCUGCUACAGUGUGGAGGGGCUCAGGAAUUACAGCUGAGGCCACACAAGUUGAAGAUAAUUAGUUGAACCACUGAUUAGACAGAUAAUCAUGUAUAUCAGGCCAAACUUGUUAGCAGCUACAGAAUCAGAUUUUUUUUUUCUGGCCUCUAAUGAUCGUGUGUUGCCUCACUCUUUGUAUCCUAUAUACAAAAUGCCUGCUGUUUUCUGUAUGUUGUCUGCAAUUCAUACCUAAUGAGCUAUAUAAUCAUCAUUACAGACACAAUGAAUACAUUUUAUUCAGCUUUUGAAAAACCUGAUAACAUAUUACCAAUGUUAUGCCAAGCUAUUCAAUACAACACAGACAGCUUAACCAAAGUGGUCCAGAUUUAGAAAAAAAAACAUCUAUCAUAUGUGUGUAACUUCCACUUCUAGUUCUAUUUCAAGCCUCCAGGUUGUACAAUUAUAUAAUUACUUAUUAUUAACUCAAACUCUCCAAUGCUCCUGCUUUGUGAAUGUAUAAAUACAGUAUGCAGUGUGCGUGAGAGAGCAAGAUAUUGUGUUUUUGUGUCUGUGUCUAUUUACAUUCUUUCAUUGGCAUCUCUAAUGUUACUCUGUUUUGUAUUUAGAGGCUGCUUUUACUCAAGUACAGUAGAGGUGGUGGAAUAAUGAAGGGUAAAGUGAUGCAGUAAAUUGUGUUUCAAUUCUUCUCAGAUACUCAGAUGAAAUUGUUAUUCGCAGAAGGUCCUAUAGCAUAUUUCUCCUUGCGCUUCCUCUUUGAUCUGUCAAGUGCUUUGCCUGCAGAUCAGAGAUGCUCACUUGCAACAGUAGUAGAGCAUUCAUCACACAAUGUAUCUCAUCUUUAAAGGUGAUGGGAUUCUGUCUACUGGGUUAUUUUGUUGAUGAUCUUUUUAUUUUAUUUUUUUAGAGUGGACUAUGUAUGCAUUUUGCCCAAGUCACAUCAGUCUUAAGUCAUUACUUGUGUUUGAGCUGAUACAGUAUAUCAGCAUUGAUAGUGUAUUUUUAUUUCUUAAUUGGUUUUAUUUGAUUGUCAUACUUAUUCACACAUGUAGCAUACGUAACUCUCAGAACCAAACAAGCUUUACAAUUAUGUAAAAAAAGAAAAAUGAGACGAGUAUUUUUAUAUAGUUGACACGAUUAAAUAAUUGCUUUCUUCUCACUAGUACCUUGCACUUACCACAUGUACUAAUACAUACACAAGGAAGAAAUUGUCCAAAUACACGGUAUUUGUGAAAGUAAAACCAUUAAUUUUCUUGCAGGUUGAUGCUCCAUUUUGUACAAUAUACGUAUAUGCUGUACAGUAAAGAAAUUUUAAAACUACAAAAACUCUUUUAGAUAUACAUUAUUUAUUUUUACCAUUUUGUAAUUUAGACACUAUACUGUAGCUUCAAUAUUGCCAGACUUACUGGAAGUGCCUAUAUUGGUAUUAUGUAUCAUACAGUGAAUAUAUUUGAAGAUCAUUAGAAGUUGUCACAAACUGAACCAUGUGGAUGUUGUAAUGUGAAUACAUUGAAUUACAAGACUAUAAUUUCUGUGGUAUCAC